This 660-nucleotide ribosomal RNA is filed under the name uncultured bacterium. RNAcentral describes it as "bacterial SSU rRNA". It matches the Rfam family "Bacterial small subunit ribosomal RNA", at positions 94 to 788 of the family's 1533-position model. The record is from RNAcentral.
AGUGGCGGACGGGUGAGUAACGCGUGAGAAUCUGCCUUGGGGUCGGGGACAACCACUGGAAACGGUGGCUAAUACCGGAUAAGCCGAUUGGUGAAAGAUUUAUUGCCCGAAGAGGAGCUCGCGUCUGAUUAGCUAGUUGGUGAGGUAAGAGCUCACCAAGGCAGCGAUCAGUAGCUGGUCUGAGAGGACGAUCAGCCACACUGGGACUGAGACACGGCCCAGACUCCUACGGGAGGCAGCAGUGGGGAAUUUUCCGCAAUGGGCGAAAGCCUGACGGAGCAAGACCGCGUGAGGGAGGAAGGCUCUUGGGUUGUAAACCUCUUUUCUCAGGGAAGAAGCUCUGACGGUACCUGAGGAAUCAGCCUCGGCUAACUCCGUGCCAGCAGCCGCGGUAAUACGGAGGAGGCAGGCGUUAUCCGGAAUUAUUGGGCGUAAAGCGUCCGCAGGUGGCGAUUCAAGUCUGCUGUCAAAGCACGGGGCUUAACUCCGUAAAGGCAGUGGAAACUGAAUAGCUAGAGUGCCGUAGGGGUAGAGGGAAUUCCCGGUGUAGCGGUGAAAUGCGUAGAGAUCGGGAAGAACAUCGGUGGCGAAAGCGCUCUACUGGACGGCAACUGACACUCAGGGACGAAAGCUAGGGGAGCGAAUGGGAUUAGAUACCCC